ACCACUUUGUGAUUCAUGACUGGGGGGAAGGCGGAACAAGGUAACCGGUGGGGGACCUGCGGAUGGAGAACCGCCUUACCUUAAAGAAGC
This 90-nucleotide ribosomal RNA is filed under the name Salmonella enterica subsp. enterica serovar Typhimurium. RNAcentral describes it as "partial 16S ribosomal RNA". Lineage: Bacteria; Pseudomonadati; Pseudomonadota; Gammaproteobacteria; Enterobacterales; Enterobacteriaceae. The record is from RNAcentral.